Long non-coding RNA from Impatiens glandulifera, 1552 nucleotides. RefSeq lists it as uncharacterized. The record is from RefSeq and is a predicted model, not a curated record. The transcript has 4 exons. NCBI's taxonomy places the organism in Eukaryota, Viridiplantae, Streptophyta, Magnoliopsida, Ericales, Balsaminaceae.
AUGGAACCUCCAAAGAGUUUUCAGCCUGGAUUUUUACAAUCACAACUCAAUGCCCUUAGAAACCCUUAGAAAGAAAAAAAAUAAUUCGGGUGAGUCUUCGUCGCAUACUCAAGUGGAGGAUAUCCCUGAGGAGCAAAAUGUUGGUAGAGCCCACACGACCAUCCACUAAUGAGCGGAAUUUCACUAAUGAUGAUGUGCAAAAUCUAGUUAAGCCCACACAAUUGACGGAUGAAGGCACACAUAUAAAGUCUUCAAACUCCUAGAGAAAGCGAGUUAGCAACAAAAACUUUAAAUUGGCCAAAUUGACGGUUAAUGGAGAAAAGGUGCAUGUCACAUUUAGCCCAAUUGAAAGAAAGUCAUGUUGCAAAAAUAGGGGCAUGUGGAAUUGGAAUUUGGGGGCCAUUGUUCGAGAGAAUAAUAUUAUUCCACAUUGCACGGUCCAUUGGCGCCACCUCACCUCCACCACCUUGAAUACUCUAUGGCAAUCUAUUAUUGAUAAAUUUGAUUUAGAUGAUAUUGAGAGUUAUCGAGACGACGCCUUGAGACACAUGAAAGCGAGGUGGGAGGAUUGGAGGUACGACAUAUCUCUCACUAGGAUAAGGAAACACGAAGGAAAUGUGGAAGCAAUCAAGGCAGAUAAGCCUGAUGAAAUGACCCAACAAGAUUAGGAGUUAUUUCGUUAAAACCAUUACUUUACCGACAAAUUCUAGGUUCUUCUUUCACAUUUUGUACUUAAUAUAACAUUUUGAUUCUAACAUUAUAUAUUAAUUGCAGAAACGAAGUGCUACCAUCAUAGAAAACAAAAAAAAUCAAAAUAUGCACAUCAUUUUGGUAGAAAAUCUUUUACACAACUGCAACGAGAAAUGAAAGUUCAAGAAGGAUCAGUUCCAAACUAUGAAGAUUUGUUUUUGGCAACUAGGACCAAAAAUGAUAAAACUGUUGAUCCACACAUACUAGAGAAAGUGGAUGAAUUAAGACAAUUGCGAGCUGAACGUCCCGACAUUUCUGAUGUCGAUUUGGCUGAAGGAGUUUUUAGUCCUCAAGACAAAGACAAGGGAAAGAGUAUAAGAAUGAUAUCAAUUUUAGCUUCCAAAGUUAGAGGACUUGUAAUGUCCAAAAAAGAACUACGUCGAGAGAAUAUGACAAUGCAAAUAAAAUCGAUGAUAUGAAUAACAGAAUGGGAGAGAAAAUGGAAGAGAGGUUAAGGAUGGAGAAGGCUCAAAUGGAAGCUAAUAUGGAAGAGAGAUUGAGGAUGGAGAGAGCCGAGAUGAUGCGUUUUAUGUCACAGUUUAUACCCGGCGGUGCAUCGAUAGAUCCUACUUUAUUUUCCUAGUUUACUAAUCUUGGCAGUCAAUCAUCGGGUCAAGGGUCAUUAACCACAAUUCUACCUAUGUAGCCCCAACAAGACGACAAUAAUUCUAGGGAAGACACGAGUUAAGUAAGAACUUUUGUUAUAUAAUUUUGGUUAGAUUUCAAAUAUUUGUGUAAUACUACUUUGAUUUUAAAUGUUAGUAUUUGUGUUAAGAACUUCUUUUGUUAUGAUCUUGGUAAU